UACAUAGACCUCAAGCGUUAUCCGGAUUUACUGGGCGUAAAGCGUGCGUAGACGGUUAUUUAAGUCAGGUGUGAAAGCCCCGGGCUCAACCUGGGAAUUGCAUUUGAGACUGAAUAGCUAGGGUGCGGAAGAGGGAAGCGGAAUUUCCGGUGUAGCGGUGAAAUGCGUAGAUAUCGGAAGGAACACCAGUGGCGAAAGCGGCUUCCUGGUCCAGCACCGACGUUCAGGCACGAAAGCGUGGGGAGCAAACAGG
RNAcentral lists this ribosomal RNA (253 nucleotides) under uncultured bacterium. RNAcentral's name for it is "partial 16S ribosomal RNA". It matches the Rfam family "Bacterial small subunit ribosomal RNA", at positions 524 to 776 of the family's 1533-position model. The record is from RNAcentral.